GUGCCAGCAGCCGCGGUAAUACGUAGGAGGCGAGCGUUAUCCGGAUUUACUGGGUGUAAAGCGCGCGCAGGCGGAUCGGCAAGUUGGAUGUGAAAGCUCCCGGCUUAACUGGGAGAGGUCGUUCAAAACUACCGGUCUUGAGUACAGUAGAGGGAAGUGGAAUUCCGGGUGUAGUGGUGACAUGCGUAGAUAUCCGGAGGAACACCAGUGGCGAAGGCGGUUUUCUGGACUGUAACUGACGCUCAGGCGCGAA
RNAcentral lists this ribosomal RNA (253 nucleotides) under uncultured bacterium. RNAcentral describes it as "partial 16S rRNA". It matches the Rfam family "Bacterial small subunit ribosomal RNA", at positions 505 to 757 of the family's 1533-position model. The record is from RNAcentral.